RNAcentral lists this ribosomal RNA (253 nucleotides) under uncultured bacterium. Its description in RNAcentral is "partial 16S ribosomal RNA". It matches the Rfam family "Bacterial small subunit ribosomal RNA", at positions 524 to 776 of the family's 1533-position model. The record is from RNAcentral.
UACGUAGGGUGCAAGCGUUGUCCGGAAUUAUUGGGCGUAAAGAGCGUGUAGGCGGCCCGAUUAGUCCGCUGUGAAAGUCCAGGGCUCAACCCUGGAAUGCCGGUGGAUACUGUCGGGCUAGAGUCCGGAAGGGGCGAGUGGAAUUCCUGGUGUAGCGGUGGAAUGCGCAGAUAUCAGGAGGAACACCUAUAGCGAAGGCAGCUCGCUGGGACGACACUGACGCUGAGACGCGAAAGCGUGGGGAGCGAACAGG